AGUGAACGCUGGCGGUAGGCCUAACACAUGCAAGUCGAACGGCAGCACAGUAAGAGCUUGCUCUUACGGGUGGCGAGUGGCGGACGGGUGAGGAAUACAUCGGAAUCUACUUUUUCGUGGGGGAUAACGUAGGGAAACUUACGCUAAUACCGCAUACGGCCUACGGGUGAAAGCAGGGGAUCUUCGGACCUUGCGCGAUUGAAUGAGCCGAUGUCGGAUUAGCUAGUUGGCGGGGUAAAGGCCCACCAAGGCGACGAUCCGUAGCUGGUCUGAGAGGAUGGUCAGCCACACUGGAACUGAGACACGGUCCAGACUCCUACGGGAGGCAGCAGUGGGGAAUAUUGGACAAUGGGCGCAAGCCUGAUCCAGCCAUACCGCGUGGGUGAAGAAGGCCUUCGGGUUGUAAAGCCCUUUUGUUGGGAAAGAAAAGCAGCAGGUUAAUACCCCGCUGUUCUGACGGUACCCAAAGAAUAAGCACCGGCUAACUUCGUG
Molecule: ribosomal RNA, 492 nt
Filed under: uncultured bacterium
Lineage: Bacteria
Description: partial 16S ribosomal RNA
Rfam family: Bacterial small subunit ribosomal RNA
Source: RNAcentral